RNAcentral lists this ribosomal RNA (385 nucleotides) under uncultured bacterium. Its description in RNAcentral is "bacterial SSU rRNA". It matches the Rfam family "Bacterial small subunit ribosomal RNA", at positions 29 to 417 of the family's 1533-position model. The record is from RNAcentral.
AUUGAACGCUGGCGGCAGGCCUAACACAUGCAAGUCGAGCGGUAGCAGGCCUUCGGGCGCUGACGAGCGGCGGACGGGUGAGGAACACGUAGGAAUCUGCCUUGUAGUGGGGGAUAGCCCAGAGAAAUUUGGAGUAAUACCGCAUAUGCCCUGAGGGGGAAAGUGGGGGACCGAAAGGCCUCACGCUAUGAGAGGAGCCUGCGUCGGAUUAGCUAGUUGGUGGGGUAAGAGCCCACCAAGGCGACGAUCCGUAGCUGGUCUGAGAGGAUGAUCAGCCACACUGGGACUGAGACACGGCCCAGACUCCUACGGGAGGCAGCAGUGGGGAAUAUUGGACAAUGGGCGAAAGCCUGAUCCAGCCAUGCCGCGUGUGUGAAGAAGGCCU